GGGGAUGUGGCGGAAUUGGUAUACGCGCACGGUUGAGGGCCGUGUGGGGCAACCCUUGAGAGUUCGAGUCUCUCCAUCCCCACCA
RNAcentral lists this transfer RNA (85 nucleotides) under Acidobacteriota bacterium. RNAcentral describes it as "Acidobacteria bacterium tRNA-Leu". It matches the Rfam family "tRNA". Rfam says of the family: Transfer RNA (tRNA) molecules are approximately 80 nucleotides in length. Their secondary structure includes four short double-helical elements and three loops (D, anti-codon, and T loops). Further hydrogen bonds mediate the characteristic L-shaped molecular structure. tRNAs have two regions of fundamental functional importance: the anti-codon, which is responsible for specific mRNA codon recognition, and the 3' end, to which the tRNAs corresponding amino acid is attached (by aminoacyl-tRNA synthetases). tRNAs cope with the degeneracy of the genetic code in two manners: having more than one tRNA (with a specific anti-codon) for a particular amino acid; and 'wobble' base-pairing, i.e. permitting non-standard base-pairing at the 3rd anti-codon position. The record is from RNAcentral. Lineage: Bacteria; Pseudomonadati; Acidobacteriota. RNAcentral also lists the same sequence under 2 other names.